This 511-nucleotide ribosomal RNA is filed under the name Euastacus balanensis. RNAcentral's name for it is "eukaryotic LSU rRNA". It matches the Rfam family "Eukaryotic large subunit ribosomal RNA", at positions 1103 to 1582 of the family's 3401-position model. The record is from RNAcentral. Lineage: Eukaryota; Metazoa; Arthropoda; Malacostraca; Decapoda; Parastacidae.
UGGUGAGUAAUAUGAGUAUCUAGUGGGCUAUUUUUGGUAAGCAGAACUGGCGCUGUGGGAUGAACCAAACGUCGAGUUAAGGGGCCUAAAUGAAUGCUCAUUCAGAUCCCAUCGAAAGGCGUUGGUUGCUAUAGACAGCAGGACGGUGGCCAUGGAAGUCGGAAUCCGCUAAGGAGUGUGUAACAACUCACCUGCCGAAGCAACUAGCCCUUAAAAUGGUAUGGCGCUGAAGCAUUCUCCCGAUACUCGACCGCCGGGGCACUAGCGGCCACGUCCCAGAGGCGAGGUCUCGAAGCCCCGGUGAGUAAGAGGGUCGCAGUGGUGAGCGCUGAAGGGAUCCGGCGUGAGCCGGCCUGGAGCCUCCACUGGUGCAGAUCUUGGUGGUAGUAGCAAAUACUCGAGAGAGACUCCCUUGAAGACCGAAGUGGAGAAGGGUUCCAUGUGAACAUCAGUUGGACAUGGGUUAGUCGCUCCUAAGCUCAAGGCUAAGGCCUGAUCCCAUGGUAACGGC